GUGAGGGGGUGACUAGUGGCAGAGUGAGGGAAGGAAGGGGUGACUAGUGACAGAGUGAGGGAGGUGGUGACUGUCACUAGUCACCACCUCCCUCACUCUGUCACUACUCCCCCCUCCUUCUGUCACUAGUCACCCCCUCCGUCCCUUACUCUGUCACUAGUCACCCCUUCCCUCCCUCUCUCUUUCACUAGUCACACCCUCCCUCAC
Molecule: non-coding RNA, 207 nt
Organism: Pelobates cultripes (western spadefoot toad)
Lineage: Eukaryota; Metazoa; Chordata; Amphibia; Anura; Pelobatidae
Source: the annotation of a GenBank genome assembly